AAGGCUUUCGGGUCGUAAAGCUCUGUCCUAUGGGAAGAAGAAGUGACGGUACCAUAGGAGGAAGCCCCGGCUAACUACGUGCCAGCAGCCGCGGUAAUACGUAGGGGGCAAGCGUUAUCCGGAAUUACUGGGCGUAAAGGGUGAGUAGGCGGCCAAAUAAGCCAGAGGUGAAAGGCUAGGGCUUAACCCUAGUAAGCCUAUGGAACUGUAUGGCUUGAGUGCAGGAGAGGAGAGUGGAAUUCCUAGUGUAGCGGUGAAAUGCGUAGAUAUUAGGAGGAACACCAGUGGCGAAGGCGACUCUCUGGACUGCAACUGACGCUGAGGCACGAAAGCGUGGGGAGCAAACAGGAUUAGAUACCCUGGUAGUCCACGCCGUAAACGAUGAGUGCUAGGUGUCGGGGGUUCACACCCUCGGUGCCGGAGUUAACGCAUUAAGCACUCCGCUGGGGA
RNAcentral lists this ribosomal RNA (450 nucleotides) under uncultured Bacillota bacterium. RNAcentral's name for it is "bacterial SSU rRNA". It matches the Rfam family "Bacterial small subunit ribosomal RNA", at positions 411 to 878 of the family's 1533-position model. Lineage: Bacteria; Bacillati; Bacillota. The record is from RNAcentral.